CACAGCGAGGGGGGAAUGUUUAUUGAUCUUAGUCACACACGUAUUGUAAAGAGGAACUUUGGUACAAGCCUUUUGCACGCUAUGGGAAUCUGGGGAAGUCACAGCAUUGCAAACAGUGCCUGGCUGCUUCCACGCACAGGCUUGUUAACAGUAACCUAGUGAAACCAUAGACUAGAGGAAAGGACACCGGUUCACCAGACAGACAGAAAUAAACUAGACUGAUUAAGCAGAUAACUAUUAUGUAGCUAUUUUAAAAUGGUCACUGUUUUAUGUAACAAUGGAGCCGGAGAAGAAGGCUGACGUUUUACGCGUCCCCAACCGAUUGUGUUUUUUUGUUCGUUUAUAACUUAUUUUUAAACUUAUUUUGUACAUAAUGUUGCCGCUACCGUCUCUUGUGACCGAAAAUAAUUUCUGAACAUCAGGACUGCGAUUACUCACCAGAAUCCUUUUUUCCCUUUAAGGAGUCUGAGGAGCCCGACGCGAAUUAUUUUCUGCUUUCUCGGGAACAAGCCCAGAUACCCGUGAUUUGUGUGAAGAGGUGGCUGAGACAAAGUGGCCAGAGGGCGGGCUGCCUCCUGAGAAUUCGUAGGCGAUCGAAUAAACCCCCACUUCCUUCCAUUCUGUUAGCAAACAUGCAAUCUUUGUAGAAUAAAAUCGAAGACCAAAGCGGAAGAUUAAACUACCAACGGGACAUUUAAAACUGUAAUAUCUUAUGCUCAACAGAGUCGUGGCUAAACGACGAUACAUUCAACAUACAGCUGGCUGGUUAUAAACUCUACCGGCAGGACAAAACAGCGGCAUCUGCAGGUGCAAGUGCAACUCACCAGUGUGGGAUGGUGAACGGCAGGAAGGAAGAGUGCCGGAAGAUCUCCAGGAUGAAGGCUUCCAGCAGAGAUCAUUGACAAUGCCCACAAUCUUCUCAUCAGACACCUGGACGUUGGCGUUCUCAUCUAGUUUCCUGUCCUCACAGUGGUCAAUGAGGGAGUCAGUGAUGUCACGGAUGUUGUCCUGAAAACAGAACAAUGGACAAUCAGUAUCACAGACAACAAACAGCAAUAGAUCAAACAUUUUUUUGAAACAUGAUGCAAUGUAUUAUUUACCUUGUCAUAGCUGUCAUAGUGCUCACUGACAAUCUUCUGCACAAAGGUGUUGAAACGGUCAUUGAUAUCCAUAAACCUCUUCAUGGUGCGGUUGGGCAGGUAACGAAGGAUGGGAAUGAAGUCUGCAGGGUUGCCGCUGCCCACCACCUGCCCAAACUCAUCACUCAUGUUCACCAAGCCCAACAGCUCCUGGUCAUCAUGGCUGUAGCGCCGGCCGAAGCACAUUCCACAGAUGACGUUGGCCACCGAUACAACAAUAUGGCGGAAGGGGUCAAAGCUGCCACUGACAUCCAUGACGGAAGUCAGCUGUUUUACCAGGUACUCUCCCUCCUUGCAGACGUGCUCCUCCAGGGCACAGGAGUACUCUGGGGUCGAUCCCUCCAGGGUGGCGAAAGAGCGGAGGGCGCUCAUAGCUAGCUUGCGGCGGGCGCGCCACACCCCAGCCUUGUCGGUGCUAAAGGCCAAGCUCUUGCCGUCGUUGAUGAAUUUGAAGCUGUAUAGAUCGGGCCUCCCGGCGAAGUCUUCCCCUUGCUUGAUAAGAGCCUGGCGGACUGUCUCAUUGCCACUAAGAACAACCACAGGCCGCAUCCCUAUUUGGAUCUGGAAGACUGAGCCGUAGCGCUCGCUCAUGGCAGUCAGGCUGAGGUGAGGGUUAUUGUGCACCUCCAGCACAUUCCCGAUGAUGGGCAGGGGCUUUGGUCCGGGGAGCCGUUUCAGUCCCUCUGGGAUCUCUGUGUGCAUGUACUUCAUGAUCAUGUACACCAGGCAUAGUGUUACCAUGGCCACCAGCCCCUCAGACACAGAGACUGAGCCGAUAAUGGGUAGUAUCAUGAGAACCAUUUGUAUGUUUUAUUUGUGGCUUGUGCACAAUCUGUAAAGAGAGGUAAAUGUUUUAGUGAUUAAUAGUGAGCGAGAAAAAUACUCCAGCUGAGUAAUAAACAUUGCUCGAAAACAUUGUUCGAAAAUUGCAUGAAUUUUACGCAUGGUGCACUCACACCUUUCACGCUUUUGCAAACCUCCUUACUCUACCAGUCUCGUACCAUUAAACAUAGGCUACAUAAAAGGCUGUAUAGUGUUUAAAAAAAUGAAGACCUUAACUGUUAUAUUGCCUACACGUACGUACAUUUUUUUCGAAUAGAUUAUACGAAAAAGAAGACUCAAGAAUAAACGGUACAAGAUAACAGUAUAUAAUGCGUGUUGGAGCUUGCUAUAUUGAAAAAACAAUGAAAAAAACUGUACUAAUAUUAUGUGCAAACGAAUUAAUAAAUGUUAUUUCGACACUUCAUUCACAACAAAAAGACACCUGCUAUUCCAACAUAUGUUUCCUUGUUCCUUAUUAAAUGUAAAUAUAUUACAUGCAGAAUUAGUCAUUUUUAUUACCUUCCGUUAUGAGCCAAAUGAGCCGACUUGCAGGGAGAUCGAAGAAGUUUGCAGGUGAUGUUAUAUUUAUACAAAGCUUUUUCUCUUGCUAUUAAGAUAACUCCGUUUCUCUGUACUUAAAAGUAAGAAUGGGAACUUCUUUUAUAGAGCGCUUCUCAGCUCCAUUGGCUGAUGUCUGAGUGACGUACCCUCUCUCGCUCUCUCUUGGCUUGCCAGCAGCAGCGGCUGCCUCUGAAGGAGAGGUGUAAUAAAAUAUCAAGCGGAAACAUCAAUGAGUAGUGUAUAUACAAUGUAAGCUUGCCUUUAUAAUAAAAAGAAACGUCUAAGGAGUAAGACAUUUUUUUUCUAAGAGUGCAUGCUUUCACUGAUAUAUCAUUGAUGGGCCCUAUUGAAAAAAUAUAUACAUACAAUUU
Molecule: long non-coding RNA, 2893 nt
Organism: Oncorhynchus gorbuscha (pink salmon)
Lineage: Eukaryota; Metazoa; Chordata; Actinopteri; Salmoniformes; Salmonidae
Exons: 3
Source: RefSeq, a predicted model, not a curated record